This 432-nucleotide ribosomal RNA is filed under the name uncultured bacterium. RNAcentral describes it as "partial 16S ribosomal RNA". It matches the Rfam family "Bacterial small subunit ribosomal RNA", at positions 29 to 507 of the family's 1533-position model. The record is from RNAcentral.
AACGAACGCUGGCGGCAUGCCUAACACAUGCAAGUCGAACGAGACCUUCGGGUCUAGUGGCGCACGGGUGCGUAACGCGUGGGAACCUGCCCUUAGGUUCGGAAUAACUCCCCGAAAGGGGUGCUAAUACCGGAUAAUGUCUUCGGACCAAAGAUUUAUCGCCUUUGGAUGGGCCCGCGUUGGAUUAGCUAGUUGGUAGGGUAAAAGCCUACCAAGGCGACGAUCCAUAGCUGGUCUGAGAGGAUGAUCAGCCACACUGGGACUGAGACACGGCCCAGACUCCAAGGGAGGGCGGCAGUGGGAAUAUUGGACAAUGGGCGAAAGCCUGAUCCAGCAAUGCCGCGUGAGUGAUGAAGGCCUUAGGGUUGUAAAGCUCUUUUACCCGGGAUGAUAAUGACAGUACCGGGAGAAUAAGCUCCGGCUAACUCCGUG